Numida meleagris (helmeted guineafowl) is the source of this 1629-nucleotide long non-coding RNA. NCBI's taxonomy places the organism in Eukaryota, Metazoa, Chordata, Aves, Galliformes, Numididae. The record is from Ensembl.
GGAACUAAGUUUUUUGGGCAGAGACUUUUGGUUCUCUUUUUGAAAAGAAUUAUUGCGAGGGUCUAGUAGUUGAUUAGAGUAUCCAGGCAUAGCUAGAAUACAAGGAAUAAUAAUACAUAGCAACGAGUUAUUAUCGCAAUUGGAUGGAGAGAGUUGCAGAAAAAUUAAACCAGUUUGGUUUUGGACAAAUGAAUUAUUUGAAUAGUGACAAAUUUUCUUCCUUUUCUUUCCUAUCCUUUUCCCAGCUCCAGGUGUUUGUUCUGCUACAGAGCCUGUCCAUGGAAAAGAAUGUUGCUUCCAGAGUUGGAUACUUGGAAACAAAUGAAGACCAAGCACAACCACAUCUCAAAGGAGAUAAGGGACUAUGCCAAUGAUGGAUACCUAAGGAUGAUAAAACAAGUGUACAAUUGUGCUUUCCUGUCAAACCCUCACAGAUUCUCCAAGGUAUGUCUGUACUUAAAGGAGUUAUCUUAUAAGUUGUGAUGAAAAUGGUUGUGACUCCUUCCAAGACAGUGAUAUUUUCCCAGUUAUUUCUUUGCUGUGGAACCAUAAACUCACAGUGCACGGGAAGUCUUGAAGUGUAUAAGCUGUUAUGAAGCUAUAUGCAUGUAAAUACUACUUAUAUCUCCACUCCAGCAUACCAGGGAAGAGUAACUACUGCUUGAUACUAUGGUAUAGUAAACGACUCUACAGCAACUGCUGUGAAUGAACUCUUCUAAUAAGAUACUUUUUUUUUUUUCAUACCAGUCACUAAAUUUCUGAAAAAAUUGCUUUUAUUUUGAUAGACUUGAAAAUAAUUCAAACAUUGUUAUUUACUGCUUUUGUACCUUCAAUUAAGUUUUUAAAUUCUACAUUCGGUGUCAGUGAUCUCAGAUGACAGAUACAUGAGUAAUUAUAGCAAAUUUCCUUUUGAGAAGUUUUCACACAGUAGUUUCAGCAGAUGGUCAGUUCCUUUUUUAUUUCUCUGUUUUGACAUUUAUGGUGUUUUCUUUUUUUUUUUUUUUAAUUUAUUCAUUUAUUUUAGUCCUUCCCUUCCACAAUUUCAGGUCUAAUCUUUUGCUUUGAAAUCUGCCAGUCAUUUUAACUGAGAAUAGAAGCCCUCUCCAUUAUGGUGAAAGAGCCUAAUCUCCUCCUUUUUUUAGUUUCAAAGGUUCUUUGUCAAUUCGCAUUCUGUAGGAACCUCUACAGAGAUUAGGUUUUUUUUUGAAUUUGAAAUGUUUUGGAGAACAACCCAAACUAAAACCUAACAUGAAUUUUGUCAAUUUAUACAUCCAAACUGUGUGGCCCUUGAGCUGGGUGAGCAUUUUAGAAAUAUGCGCUUAUCACUCAAACCUUCCUCUGUACAUUGUCAGUGUGAAUAUUUUUAAUGCAUUCAUUGCUCCUGCUCAUUCAGGCACAUCAUUUAUGUGGCAUAGUUGGCAAGGUUUUACAAGCUAAUGCAAUUUGCAUUAAAAAUAGCUGAAAAUGGUAAUAGUCAUUAUAAUGCCUAUUUGACCAAGAACAAGUAAUGGCUUGCGAUUAAUCAGUUGUAAAAAUUGGUAAUUGUUGCACCCUCUUAAUCUUUUUCUCUCUCAACCAGAAUGAUUACACCUCGUUAAAAUCUGAAUAAAACAUCAUUAUCCUGUAUCA